RNAcentral lists this transfer RNA (76 nucleotides) under Candidatus Pacebacteria bacterium RIFOXYB1_FULL_44_10. RNAcentral describes it as "tRNA-Ala". It matches the Rfam family "tRNA". Rfam says of the family: Transfer RNA (tRNA) molecules are approximately 80 nucleotides in length. Lineage: Bacteria; Bacillati; Minisyncoccota. The record is from RNAcentral.
GGGCCCAUAGCUCAUCUGGUAGAGCGCAUCAUUUGCAAUGAUGAGGUGAGCGGUUCGAGCCCGCUUGGGUCCACAA